Molecule: ribosomal RNA, 465 nt
Filed under: uncultured bacterium
Lineage: Bacteria
Description: partial 16S ribosomal RNA
Rfam family: Bacterial small subunit ribosomal RNA
Source: RNAcentral
CCUACGGGUGGCAGCAGUGAGGAAUAUUGGUCAAUGGGCGGGAGCCUGACGCAGCGACGCCGCGUGAGGGUUGAAGGUCUUCGGAUCGUACACCUCUGUCAGCAGGGAAGAACGGUCACUGUGCUAAUCAGCAGUGAAUUGACGGUACCUGCAAAGGAAGCACCGGCUAACUCCGUGCCAGCAGCCGCGGUAAUACGGAGGGUGCGAGCGUUAAUCGGAAUUACUGGGCGUAAAGCGCUCGUAGGCGGUAUGUCAAGUCAAGGGUGAAAUCCCCGCGCUCAACGUGGGAACUGCCUUUGAAACUGGCAAACUGGAGUGUGUGAGAGGAUAGUGGAAUUCCAGGUGUAGGAGUGAAAUCCGUAGAUAUCUGGAGGAACAUCAGUGGCGAAGGCGACUAUCUGGCACAUAACUGACGCUGAGGAGCGAAAGCGUGGGUAGCAAACAGGAUUAGAUACCCGAGUAGUC